CUACGGGUGGCAGCAGUAAGGAAUAUUGCGCAAUGGAGGCAACUCUGACGCAGCCAUGCCGCGUGCAGGAAGAAGGCCUUAUGGGUCGUAAACUGCUUUUAUUUAGGAAUAAACCCCCGAACGUGUUCGGGGCUGAAGGUACUAAACGAAUAAGCACCGGCUGACUCCGUGCCAGCAGCCGCGGUAAUACGGAGGGUGCAAGCGUUAUCCGGAUUUAUUGGGUUUAAAGGGUGCGCAGGCGGGCUAUUAAGUCAGUGGUGAAAUCCCGGGGCUCAACUCCGGAACUGCCAUUGAUACUGAUAGUCUUGAGUUUGGUUGAAGUGGGCGGAAUGUAGCAUGUAGCGGUGAAAUGCAUAGAUAUGCUACAGAACACCAAUCGCGAAGGCAGCUCACUAAGCCAAAACUGACGCUCAUGCACGAAAGCGUGGGGAUCAAACAGGAUUAGAUACCCUCGUAGUC
This 459-nucleotide ribosomal RNA is filed under the name uncultured bacterium. RNAcentral describes it as "partial 16S ribosomal RNA". It matches the Rfam family "Bacterial small subunit ribosomal RNA", at positions 339 to 795 of the family's 1533-position model. The record is from RNAcentral.